This 302-nucleotide ribosomal RNA is filed under the name uncultured bacterium. RNAcentral's name for it is "partial 16S ribosomal RNA". It matches the Rfam family "Bacterial small subunit ribosomal RNA", at positions 508 to 807 of the family's 1533-position model. The record is from RNAcentral.
GCAGCAGCCGCGGGAAUACGGAGGGUGCAAGCGUUAAUCGGAAUUACUGGGCGUAAAGCGUGCGUAGGCGGCUUUUUAAGUCGGAUGUGAAAUCCCUGAGCUUAACUUAGGAAUUGCAUUCGAUACUGGGAAGCUAGAGUAUGGGAGAGGAUGGUAGAAUUCCAGGUGUAGCGGUGAAAUGCGUAGAGAUCUGGAGGAAUACCGAUGGCGAAGGCAGCCAUCUGGCCUAAUACUGACGCUGAGGUACGAAAGCAUGGGGAGCAAACAGGAUUAGAUACCCCGGUAGUCCCUGUCUCUUAUAC